ACAAAGGCUCUUUUCAGAGCCACCUGCCUUCCCCGAGAAGGAGGCU
Molecule: non-coding RNA, 46 nt
Organism: Oryctolagus cuniculus (rabbit)
Lineage: Eukaryota; Metazoa; Chordata; Mammalia; Lagomorpha; Leporidae
Source: Rfam